Molecule: ribosomal RNA, 301 nt
Filed under: uncultured bacterium
Lineage: Bacteria
Description: partial 16S ribosomal RNA
Rfam family: Bacterial small subunit ribosomal RNA
Source: RNAcentral
CAGUCGCCACGGUAAUACAGAGGGUGCAAGCGCUAAUCGGAAUUACUGGGCGUAAAGCGCGCGUAGGUGGUUUGUUAAGUUGGAUGUGAAAUCCCCGAGCUUAACUUGGGAACUGCAUUUGAAACUGGCAAGCUAGAGUCUUGUAGAGGGGGGUAGAAUUCCAGGUGUAGCGGUGAAAUGCGUAGAGAUCUGGAGGAAUACCGGUGGCGAAGGCGGCCCCCUGGACAAAGACUGACGCUCAGGCGCGAAAGCGUGGGGAGCAAACAGGAUUAGAUACCCCGGUAGUCCCUGUCUCUUAUAC